Long non-coding RNA from Phyllostomus discolor (pale spear-nosed bat), 226 nucleotides. RefSeq lists it as uncharacterized. The transcript is spliced from 3 exons. The record is from RefSeq and is a predicted model, not a curated record. NCBI's taxonomy places the organism in Eukaryota, Metazoa, Chordata, Mammalia, Chiroptera, Phyllostomidae.
UUCCACUUGCCAUCACAUUCUGAGAUACCUUUUUCCAUAUGGUCAAAAAGGUACCUAAGUAUAUGAUUGCAAGUGGAAAAUAGGGGACAGAAAUCAGGUAUGGCAGUUUUUCCAUUUUCACUUGUAUGUGAAUUUUUUAAAUACAUAUGCAGGGACAUAAAUCAUUAAUGCAAGUCAAGGUGUUUCAGUGAACAAGUUUCAAGCAGUUCAACUUUAUAACAAUAUA